UACGUAGGGUGCAAGCGUUGUCCGGAAUUACUGGGCGUAAAGCGUGCGCAGGCGGUUUUGUAAGCCAGAUGUGAAAUCCCCGGGCUUAACCUGGGAAUGGCAUUUGGGACUGCAAGGCUGGAGUGCGGCAGAGGAGACUGGAAUUCCUGGUGUAGCAGUGAAAUGCGUAGAUAUCAGGAGGAAUACCGAUGGCGAAGGCAGGUCUCUGGGCUGACACUGACGCUCAUGCACGAAAGCGUGGGGAGCAAACAGG
This 253-nucleotide ribosomal RNA is filed under the name uncultured bacterium. RNAcentral describes it as "partial 16S ribosomal RNA". It matches the Rfam family "Bacterial small subunit ribosomal RNA", at positions 524 to 776 of the family's 1533-position model. The record is from RNAcentral.